AAGGCGGUAUCCUUAUAGGAACUGCACUUGUAAGUUGAUCUGGCAAAUGACCUUACACAUGAUCUUGCAGAAUGAUGCAAAUCAUCAAGUUGCAUGGUCACAAAUGCACUGUCGGUGUCUACCACGACAACGGAAUAACCUAGGAAACAAGAUGUUGGAUUCUGCUCUGAGCCUUACAAGGACCGAGACAGAGGG
Paenibacillus sp. Soil750 is the source of this 195-nucleotide non-coding RNA. Lineage: Bacteria; Bacillati; Bacillota; Bacilli; Caryophanales; Paenibacillaceae. The record is from Rfam.